GACGAACGCUGGCGGCGUGCUUAACACAUGCAAGUCGAACGGGUCUGCCCUGUUUUUUGCGGGGUGGGUCAGUGGCGAACGGGUGAGUAACACGUGAGUAACCUGCCCCUCACUUCUGGAUAACCGCUUGAAAGGGUGGCUAAUACGGGGUGUUCUGGCUGUGCCGCAUGGUGUGGCUGGGAAAGAUUCACUUUUGUGGUGUUUUGGUGGGGGAUGGGCUCGCGGCCUAUCAGCUUGUUGGUGGGGUGAUGGCCUGCCAAGGCUUUGACGGGUAGCCGGCCUGGGGGGGUGGGCGGUCAAAGUGGGACUGGGGUCCGGCCCAGACUCCGGCGGGGGGCAGCAGGGGGGGGGAGUGCACAAGGGGGGGAAGCCUGAGGCAGCGCCGGCGCGGGAGGGAGGGGGGCCUUCGGGUUGUGAACCUCUUUCGCCGGUGAAGAAGGUCCGGCUUUGUGGGGGGGGGUUGACGGUAGCCGGGUUAUGAAGCGCCGGCUAACUACGU
Molecule: ribosomal RNA, 499 nt
Filed under: uncultured bacterium
Lineage: Bacteria
Description: partial 16S ribosomal RNA
Rfam family: Bacterial small subunit ribosomal RNA
Source: RNAcentral